Non-coding RNA from Vicugna pacos (alpaca), 313 nucleotides. The record is from RefSeq and is a predicted model, not a curated record. NCBI's taxonomy places the organism in Eukaryota, Metazoa, Chordata, Mammalia, Artiodactyla, Camelidae.
ACGCUCUUCCAAUCUGGAGGACAAAACAACAAGAGAAAAGUGCCUGUCGUGGGAGAUUAGAGAUGAACCACCAGUAAGACACACAAGUGAAGAUCUCUAGCAAAUGGUGGGAAAUGCAGGUGCAAAACAUAGACGUUUGCAGAGAAGUCAAGCUUUGUGCAGGGGACAACAGAACAAAUAAGAGAAGUUGAAAGAAAAUAUUAGGGGACCACAGCACGAGGACAGCUGCACUGGAAGAUGCCAUAAAAGGACAAUUUAAAAACAGUGCUCAGAGAGGUGGAAUAAACAAAAAUUAGAGUCAUAAAGAAGGGAU